This 336-nucleotide unclassified non-coding RNA is filed under the name soil metagenome. RNAcentral describes it as "partial contains 5.8S ribosomal RNA, internal transcribed spacer 2, and large subunit ribosomal RNA". The stretch from base 1 to 120 matches the Rfam family "5.8S ribosomal RNA", at positions 35 to 154 of the family's 154-position model. The record is from RNAcentral.
GAUGAAGAACGUAGCGAAAUGCGAUAAGUAAUGUGAAUUGCAGAAUUCAGUGAAUCAUCGAAUCUUUGAACGCACAUUGCGCCCGCCAGUAUUCUGGCGGGCAUGCCUGUUCGAGCGUCAUUUCAACCAUCAAGCCCCAGGCUUGUGUUGGGGACCUGCGGCUGCCGCAGGCCCUGAAAACCAGUGGCGGGCUCGCUGUCACACCGGGCGUAGUAGAUUUUAUCUCGCUCAGGGCGUGCUGCGGGUUCCGGCCGUUAUAAAGCCUUUUUUACCCAAGGUUGACCUCGGAUCAGGUAGGAAGACCCGCUGAACUUAAGCAUAUCAAUAAGCGGAGGA